UACGGGGGGGGCAAGCGUUGUUCGGAAUUACUGGGCGUAAAGGGCUCGUAGGCGGCCAACUAAGUCAGACGUGAAAUCCCUCGGCUUAACCGGGGAACUGCGUCUGAUACUGGAUGGCUCGAGUUUGGGAGAGGGAUGCGGAAUUCCGGGUGUAGCGGUGAAAUGCGUAGAUAUCUGGAGGAACACCGGUGGCGAAGGCGGCAUCCUGGACCAACACUGACGCUGAGGAGCGAAAGCCAGGGGAGCAAACGGG
RNAcentral lists this ribosomal RNA (253 nucleotides) under uncultured bacterium. Its description in RNAcentral is "partial 16S ribosomal RNA". It matches the Rfam family "Bacterial small subunit ribosomal RNA", at positions 524 to 776 of the family's 1533-position model. The record is from RNAcentral.